Molecule: transfer RNA, 64 nt
Filed under: Alitta succinea
Lineage: Eukaryota; Metazoa; Annelida; Polychaeta; Phyllodocida; Nereididae
Description: tRNA-Leu
Source: RNAcentral
AAUGAGUUGGCAGAGUUAUGCACUUGAUUUAGGAUCAACCCACAGGAGUAUCUCCUACUCAUUA